CUUCACUACAACUUUGCAUUGAUUUUGAAUUUUUGAUGUGUAGGAUAGUUGGGAGACUUUGAAGUGGUGUCGCUAGGCAUCAUGGAGUCGUCGUUGAAAUACCAACCUUUAAACAUUUAGAGUCUAAUCCCGAAUGGGAAACAGUGCAUGGUGGGUAGUUUGACUGGGGUGGUCGCCUCCUAAAAUGUAACGGAGGCUUGCAAAGGUUCCCUCAGUACGGUUGGUAAUCGUACAUAGAGCGUAUUAGUAUAAGGGAGCUUGACUGUGAGGCAUACAUGCCGAGCAGGGACGAAAGUCGGCUAAAGUGAUCCGGCGGUUCUGUAUGGAAGGGCCGUCGCUCAAAGGAUAAAAGGUA
This 355-nucleotide ribosomal RNA is filed under the name uncultured organism. Its description in RNAcentral is "bacterial LSU rRNA". It matches the Rfam family "Bacterial large subunit ribosomal RNA", at positions 2099 to 2465 of the family's 2925-position model. The record is from RNAcentral.